GGUGGGAUGGCCGAGCGGUUUAAGGCAGCGGUCUUGAAAACCGCCAGGGUGAAAGCCCUCCAGGGUUCGAAUCCCUGUCCCACCGCCA
Molecule: transfer RNA, 88 nt
Filed under: candidate division BRC1 bacterium HGW-BRC1-1
Lineage: Bacteria; Candidatus Sumerlaeota
Description: tRNA-Ser
Rfam family: tRNA
About the family: Transfer RNA (tRNA) molecules are approximately 80 nucleotides in length. Their secondary structure includes four short double-helical elements and three loops (D, anti-codon, and T loops).
Source: RNAcentral